RNAcentral lists this ribosomal RNA (253 nucleotides) under uncultured bacterium. RNAcentral's name for it is "partial 16S ribosomal RNA". It matches the Rfam family "Bacterial small subunit ribosomal RNA", at positions 524 to 776 of the family's 1533-position model. The record is from RNAcentral.
UACAGAGGUCCCAAGCGUUGUUCGGAUUCAUUGGGCGUAAAGGGCUCGUAGGCGGUUUGUCGCGUCGGGAGUGAAAACACACAGCUUAACUGUGUGCUUGCUUCCGAUACGGGCAGACUAGAGGUAUGCAGGGGAGAACGGAAUUCCUGGUGUAGCGGUGAAAUGCGCAGAUAUCAGGAGGAACACCGGUGGCGAAGGCGGUUCUCUGGGCCGAUACUGACGCUGAGGAGCGAAAGCGUGGGGAGCGAACAGG